GAUAUAUACAAAGAUACAUACUUGAAAGUCCGUAGAGGAAACAAAUUUUUACGCCUUCUGUUUGACUGUUUGUCAUAUAUUUGGUUUUAUUUCCCAGGGAUCAGUGAAUUUUAACUCUGGAGUCCUCUAUGCUAAGGAUGCUCAGCUUACAGAUGAUGAAAUGUUCAGUAAUGUAUUUGCUGGAGCUGUGCUUACCCAAGGUUUGGGUAAAACAAGCUUUGGGUUCCUUCUGUCUCACUGGGAGUUGCCCAAUUCAGUUGCAUCUGGUGAAAUUCACCCUGAGACCUUACAGAACUAGCUCCAACUACGUGAGAGCCAUUUGCAGUUCUCUCCAGACACCUGGAGAAUGGGCGACGUUUCUGAGGAUCCGGCGAGCGUGCUUCUGUCAAAACUCAGUCUGUGAAAUUUCUGGGGAAAACACUUCUGUGUCCUGAAGGGUUCAAACUCUGGUGAGGAUCCAGUUAUCAGGUGCUCACCUGGAUGGUUCCAGCUCCCAAAGGGAAAGGCUCUCGUAUCCUUGUCGUCGGGCUCGGUGCUGUCCAAGAAGAUACAGAGACUAAAAAAAUCAUAAGAAGCAAAAUAUGACUGCAGGGAAAAGAAGCUGGAGAGAACAGAAGGGGCUGUUUCCAAAGUGACCUACAGACAUUGGAAUGAAAUCAUUAUUUACUGUGUAAAAGAAUCACUCUCCAAAGCAUCAGCCAGGGUCUAAAUGUGCCAUUCUGCCUUUUAAAAGUACCAACAUCACAGGAUUUUUCUCAGAUUAAAGCUUCCAUGGAGUCGGAUCUCUCAAGCCUGGCCCUUGAGAAUUGUGGGCCUCCUGUGAACUGGUCUUGCCAGAAGGGCUUGCUGAGUUUUCCAUUGUGUGGAAAAGAGAUCCCAUUUGCAGCCUGAAGCCUCAUGUUUCCUGUAGGAUUUCCACUCCUAGAAUUGCACACUUUGAAGGAUUUCUUAUAGCAGAAGUUUUUUGGGAACUAGGACUCUGGCUGGAUUUGGGUCUCUGGACUCUCAGGUGAAGUGACCUUGAGACACUAGGGCGUGCAGAUUUCCUUGCUGUUGUAAAGAGCUAUUGUUCGCACCCAGGAGCCAUGGUCUGAAUGGGGGUGUCACCUCUUAAAUUUGCAAAUGUCACAGGAUUUCUUCUAAAUGAAUGGUGCUAAGAACAUAA
Long non-coding RNA from Melospiza melodia melodia, 1165 nucleotides. RefSeq lists it as uncharacterized. The transcript is spliced from 4 exons. The record is from RefSeq and is a predicted model, not a curated record. NCBI's taxonomy places the organism in Eukaryota, Metazoa, Chordata, Aves, Passeriformes, Passerellidae.